AGCAGCCGCGGUAAAUUCCAGCUCCAAUAGCGUAUAUUAAAGUUGUUGCAGUUAAAAAGCUCGUAGUUGAAUUUCGGGGUCAGCAGGCUGGUCGUGCCACUGGUAUGAACUGGUCUCGCUGAUUCCUCCUUUCUGAAGAACUGUAAUGUCAUUAAUUUGGUGUUGCAGGGAAACAGGACUGUUACUUUGAAAAAUUAGAGUGUUUAAAGCAGGCAAUUUGCUUGAAUACAUUAGCAUGGAAUAAUGAAAUAGGACGUUCAAACCUAUUUUGUUGGUUUCUAGGAUUGACGUAAUGAUUAAUAGGGAUAGUUGGGGGCAUUAGUAUUCAAUUGUCAGAGGUGAAAUUCUUGGAUUUAUUGAAGACUAACUACUGCGAAAGCAUUUGCCAAGGAUGUUUUCA
This 400-nucleotide ribosomal RNA is filed under the name uncultured Glomeromycotina. Its description in RNAcentral is "SSU rRNA". It matches the Rfam family "Eukaryotic small subunit ribosomal RNA", at positions 569 to 972 of the family's 1831-position model. Lineage: Eukaryota; Fungi; Glomeromycota. The record is from RNAcentral.